RNAcentral lists this ribosomal RNA (497 nucleotides) under uncultured bacterium. RNAcentral describes it as "partial 16S ribosomal RNA". It matches the Rfam family "Bacterial small subunit ribosomal RNA", at positions 28 to 507 of the family's 1533-position model. The record is from RNAcentral.
GAUGAACGCUGGCGGCGUGCCUAAUACAUGCAAGUCGAGCGAACGGAUGAGAAGCUUGCUUCUCUGAUGUUAGCGGCGGACGGGUGAGUAACACGUGGAUAACCUACCUAUAAGACUGGGAUAACUUCGGGAAACCGGAGCUAAUACCGGAUAAUAUUUUGAACCGCAUGGUUCAAAAGUGAAAGACGGUCUUGCUGUCACUUAUAGAUGGAUCCGCGCUGCAUUAGCUAGUUGGUAAGGUAACGGCUUACCAAGGCAACGAUGCAUAGCCGACCUGAGAGGGUGAUCGGCCACACUGGAACUGAGACACGGUCCAGACUCCUACGGGAGGCAGCAGUAGGGAAUCUUCCGCAAUGGGCGAAAGCCUGACGGAGCAACGCCGCGUGAGUGAUGAAGGUCUUCGGAUCGUAAAACUCUGUUAUUAGGGAAGAACAUAUGUGUAAGUAGCUGUGCACAUCUUGACGGUACCUAAUCAGAAAGCCACGGCUAACUACGUG